This 117-nucleotide ribosomal RNA is filed under the name Leptolyngbyaceae cyanobacterium SM2_5_2. Lineage: Bacteria; Bacillati; Cyanobacteriota. The record is from RNAcentral.
CCUGGUGUCUAUGGUGCGGUGGAACCACUCCGACCCUUCCCGAACUCGGUUGUGAAACUCCGUUACGGCAACAAUACUUGGCGGGUCACUGCCUGGAAAGAUAGCUCGAUGCCAGGU